RNAcentral lists this ribosomal RNA (484 nucleotides) under uncultured bacterium. RNAcentral's name for it is "partial 16S ribosomal RNA". It matches the Rfam family "Bacterial small subunit ribosomal RNA", at positions 30 to 507 of the family's 1533-position model. The record is from RNAcentral.
AUUGAACGCUGGCGGCAGGCCUAACACAUGCAAGUCGAGCGGAUGAAGGGAGCUUGCUCCUGGAUUCAGCGGCGGACGGGUGAGUAAUGCCUAGGAAUCUGCCUUGUAGUGGGGGAUAACGUCCGGAAACGGGCGCUAAUACCGCAUACGUCCUGAGGGAGAAAGUGGGGGAUCUUCGGACCUCACGCUAUCAGAUGAGCCUAGGUCGGAUUAGCUAGUUGGUGGGGUAAAGGCCUACCAAGGCGACGAUCCGUAACUGGUCUGAGAGGAUGAUCAGUCACACUGGAACUGAGACACGGUCCAGACUCCUACGGGAGGCAGCAGUGGGGAAUAUUGGACAAUGGGCGAAAGCCUGAUCCAGCCAUGCCGCGUGUGUGAAGAAGGUCUUCGGAUUGUAAAGCACUUUAAGUUGGGAGGAAGGGCAGUAAGUUAAUCCCUUGCUGUUUUGACGUUACCAACAGAAUAAGCACCGGCUAACUUCGUG